GACGAACCGUGCGAACGUUGUUCGGAUUCACUGGGCUUAAAGGGCGCGUAGGCGGACUCGCCAGUCUGUGGUGAAAGCCCCCAGCUUAACUGGGGAAGUGCCGUGGAUACUGCGAGUCUGGAGGAGGGUAGGGGCAUCUGGAACGCUGGGUGGAGCGGUGAAAUGCGUUGAUAUCCAGCGGAACUCCGGUGGCGAAGGCGAGGUGCUGGACCCUUUCUGACGCUGAUGCGCGAAAGCCAGGGGAGCGAACGGG
This 253-nucleotide ribosomal RNA is filed under the name uncultured bacterium. RNAcentral's name for it is "partial 16S ribosomal RNA". It matches the Rfam family "Bacterial small subunit ribosomal RNA", at positions 524 to 776 of the family's 1533-position model. The record is from RNAcentral.